GGCCGCACUGAGAGGAUUGGAGCUGAGAAACCGGCGGAUGGCGAGGAUUCUCCCCAAGGCUGCCGCCGCCGCCGCAGCCUCCAUCGAACUAGCCGGCCUCCGCUCGCCAUUCCCCUCCUACUCCUCCUCCGCCGUCCCCCCGUCCACCCGGUGCUGGCCUCUGCUCUGUUCCUCUCCGUGGGCCCUCUCCUCCCUGCGGUCGUGGCUGCGGUUUGCCAAGACAGUGGAUCUUAUAGAGGCCAGAGGAACAGCAAUGAGGGAUACUGACUUUGUAAAAGGUGGCAAAACAGUGAUUGUUUUUAUCAAAGAUCCUGAUUAUUAUAAGUUUGAGCUUUUGGAAAGGGCCUCAACACCAUAGCCCUUGUGUCGACUUUAAUCACCGUACUUCUCCCUAAAAGCUAAGGUUAUUUCUAGAUCAGCUUGUCAUUUUUUGGGAGGAAAUGUUCGAUCCUUAGCUAUGUUCAUGGCACUUAGUAUGGAGCUUCUCCGCAAACAAGGGAAUGCUGAAUUCAAGGGCUUUGUUGACAAUAUAGGUUUUGCCAUAGAGACAGAGCAAUCAAUGGCCAUGAAUGAGUUUAGUGCUGUAUCUACAUCUCAAGUGAGUGCCUCUCACUCAACGGUGCCAGUGCUGGACCAAUCUUGCAAAGCAUCUGCAUCAGAUUUCACUUUGUACAUGGAUCGUCUUUGUAUAUACUUGUAAUUUGCAUAUGUUUUGCUAUCGGUUGUAAAGUUGCAGUUUCUUAGCCAAGUGCAAUGAAAGUUCAAUCAUGGAGGAUGUUCUAUAUUUUGGAUUGUCAUACAUUUACCUGUCUGUUGGAGUCUAUGUAAAGAUCAAAGGAACAAGCAUUUUCUCAGUUUAAGAAUG
Molecule: long non-coding RNA, 865 nt
Organism: Musa acuminata subsp. malaccensis (wild Malaysian banana)
Lineage: Eukaryota; Viridiplantae; Streptophyta; Magnoliopsida; Zingiberales; Musaceae
Source: RefSeq, a predicted model, not a curated record